CAGGACCCUGGGGACAUCAGUCCUGGUGGUUUUGGGGCGCUCAGACCUUCAAGGACAUCACCCCAGUGGGGUUUGGGGUGCACAGACCUUCAGGGACAUCACCUGGGAUGGUCCCUGUGGGGUUUGGGGUGCACAGGACCCUAUGGACACCCACCCAGAGGGGUCCCUGGGGUGUUUGGGGUACUCAGAUCCUCAGGGACAUCAAUCCUGGGGGGUUUGGGGUGCUCAGGAUCCUGAGGAAACCAACCCAGAAGGGUCCCUGUAGGGUUUGGGGUACUCAGACCUUCAAGGACAGCAAUCCAGAGGGGUCCCUGGGGUGUUUGGGGUGCUCAGAACCUCGGGAACAUCACCUGGGAUGGUUCUUGUGGGGUUUGGGGUGUGCAGGAUCCUGGGGACACCAACCCAUGGGGUCCCUGUGGGAUUUGGGGUGCACAGACCCUCAGGGACAGCAAUCCAAGGGGGUCCCUGUGGGGCUGGGUAGGGUUUGGGAGGUCCCCCCCAGCUCUAAAGGAGGGUUUG
Molecule: long non-coding RNA, 519 nt
Filed under: Zonotrichia albicollis (white-throated sparrow)
Lineage: Eukaryota; Metazoa; Chordata; Aves; Passeriformes; Passerellidae
Description: lncRNA (ENSZALG00000001249.1)
Source: RNAcentral